CCUACGGGAGGCUGCAGUGGGGAAUAUUGCACAAUGGGCGAAAGCCUGAUGCAGCAACGCCGCGUGAGCGAUGAAGGCCUUCGGGUCGUAAAGCUCUGUCCUCAAGGAAGAUAAUGACGGUACUUGAGGAGGAAGCCCCGGCUAACUACGUGCCAGCAGCCGCGGUAAUACGUAGGGGGCUAGCGUUAUCCGGAUUUACUGGGCGUAAAGGGUGCGUAGGCGGUCUUUCAAGUCAGGAGUGAAAGGCUACGGCUCAACCGUAGUAAGCUCUUGAAACGGUAAGACUUGAGUGCAGGAGAGGAGAGUGGAAUGCCUAGUGUAGCGGUGAAAUGCGUAGAUAUUAGGAGGAACACCAGUUGCGAAGGCGGCUCUCUGGACUGUAACUGACGCUGAGGCACGAAAGCGUGGGGAGCAAACAGGAUUAGAUACCCUUGUAGUC
This 439-nucleotide ribosomal RNA is filed under the name uncultured Eubacteriales bacterium. RNAcentral's name for it is "bacterial SSU rRNA". It matches the Rfam family "Bacterial small subunit ribosomal RNA", at positions 338 to 795 of the family's 1533-position model. The record is from RNAcentral. Lineage: Bacteria; Bacillati; Bacillota; Clostridia; Eubacteriales.